AGUGAGGAAUAUUGGUCAAUGGAGGCAACUCUGAACCAGCCAUGCCGCGUGCAGGAAGACUGCCCUAUGGGUUGUAAACUGCUUUUAUACAGGAAGAAACCUUUCCACGUGUGGAGAGCUGACGGUACUGUAGGAAUAAGCACCGGCUAACUCCGUGCCAGCAGCCGCGGUAAUACGGAGGGUGCAAGCGUUAUCCGGAAUCAUUGGGUUUAAAGGGUCCGUAGGCGGGCGAUUAAGUCAGAGGUGAAAUCCCACAGCUUAACUGUGGAACUGCCUUUGAUACUGGUUGUCUUGAGUUAUAGUGAAGUAGAUAGAAUGUGUAGUGUAGCGGUGAAAUGCAUAGAUAUUACACAGAAUACCGAUUGCGAAGGCAGUCUACUAACUGUAUACUGACGCUAAUGGACGAAAGCGUGGGGAGCGAA
Molecule: ribosomal RNA, 422 nt
Filed under: uncultured Actibacter sp.
Lineage: Bacteria; Pseudomonadati; Bacteroidota; Flavobacteriia; Flavobacteriales; Flavobacteriaceae
Description: bacterial SSU rRNA
Rfam family: Bacterial small subunit ribosomal RNA
Source: RNAcentral